RNAcentral lists this ribosomal RNA (497 nucleotides) under uncultured bacterium. Its description in RNAcentral is "partial 16S ribosomal RNA". It matches the Rfam family "Bacterial small subunit ribosomal RNA", at positions 28 to 507 of the family's 1533-position model. The record is from RNAcentral.
GAUGAACGCUGGCGGCGUGCCUAAUACAUGCAAGUCGAGCGAACGGACGAGAAGCUUGCUUCUCUGAUGUUAGCGGCGGACGGGUGAGUAACACGUGGAUAACCUACCUAUAAGACUGGGAUAACUUCGGGAAACCGGAGCUAAUACCGGAUGAUAUUUUGAACCGCAUGGUUCAAUAGUGAAAGACGGUCGUGCUGUCACUUAUAGAUGGAUCCGCGCUGCAUUAGCUAGUUGGUAAGGUAACGGCUUACCAAGGCAACGAUGCAUAGCCGACCUGAGAGGGUGAUAGGCCACACGGGAGCUGAGACACGGUCCAGACUCCUACGGGAGGCAGCAGUAGGGAAUCGGACGCAAUGGGCGAAAGCCUGACGGAGCAACGCCGAGUGAGUGACGAAGGUCUUCGGAUCGUAAAACUCUGUUAUGAGGGAAGAACAUAUGUGUAAGUAACCGUGCACAUCGUGACGGUACCGAAUCAGAAAGCCCCGGCUAACUACGUG